This 492-nucleotide ribosomal RNA is filed under the name uncultured bacterium. RNAcentral's name for it is "partial 16S ribosomal RNA". It matches the Rfam family "Bacterial small subunit ribosomal RNA", at positions 28 to 507 of the family's 1533-position model. The record is from RNAcentral.
GUUGACCGCUGGCGGUGGGCCUAACACAUGCAAGUCGACCGAAAGCACGUUAAGAGUUUGCCUUUACGGUUGGCGGGGGGCGGACGGGUGAGGAGUACAUCGGAUUCUCCUUUUUCUUGGGGAAUAACGUGGGGAAACUUCCCUUAAUACCGCAUACGACCUACGGUUAAAGCCAGGGGAUCUUGGUCCCUUUCCCGACCGAUUUAGCCGAUGUCGGAUUAGCUAGUUGGCGGGGUAAAGGCCCACCAAGGCGACGAUCCGUAGCUGGUCUGAGAGGAUGAUCAGCCACACUGGAACUGAGACACGGUCCAGACUCCUACGGGAGGCAGCAGUGGGGAAUAUUGGACAAUGGGCGCAAGCCUGAUCCAGCCAUACCGCGUGGGUGAAGAAGGCCUUCGGGUUGUAAAGCCCUUUUGUUGGGAAAGAAAAGCAGCAGGUUAAUACCCCGCUGUUCUGACGGUACCCAAAGAAUAAGCACCGGCUAACUUCGUG